UAACGAAUCUUCCGCAAUGCGCGAAAGCGUGACGGAGCAAUGCCGCGUGCAGGAUGAAGCUCCUCGGAGUGUAAACUGCUGUCAGGGUUUAGCAACACAAUGAGCAGACCCAAAGGAAGGGCCGGCUAACUUCGUGCCAGCAGCCGCGGUAAUACGAAGGGCCCGAGCGUUGCGCGGAAUCACUGGGCUUAAAGCGUGCGUAGGCGGACAUGCAGGCGUUUUGUGAAAGCCCUCGGCUCAACCGAGGAAUUGCUUGACGAACCGCAUGUCUUGAAGCAGGUAGGGGUCGUCGGAACGAUAGGUGGAGUGGUGAAAUGCGUUGAUAUCUAUCGGAACGCCGAAGGAGAAAUCAGGCGACUGGGCCUGUCUUGACGCUGAGGCACGAAAGCGUGGGGAGCGAACGGG
RNAcentral lists this ribosomal RNA (405 nucleotides) under uncultured prokaryote. RNAcentral describes it as "bacterial SSU rRNA". It matches the Rfam family "Bacterial small subunit ribosomal RNA", at positions 355 to 776 of the family's 1533-position model. The record is from RNAcentral.